RNAcentral lists this long non-coding RNA (720 nucleotides) under Setaria viridis. RNAcentral's name for it is "long non-coding RNA (SVIR_LNC005392)". Lineage: Eukaryota; Viridiplantae; Streptophyta; Magnoliopsida; Poales; Poaceae. The record is from RNAcentral.
CAUUCUCAAAAAAGAAUACAAUAGAUUAGAAAAUGGAUUAAAUUCAAAAUUUUCAAUUUUGUAACGGGUCAAUUCGCCUCUAACCAUCAAAUUAAAUGUGAAUAACCCGUCCUCCUCCCAGAAAACUGAAUUGUUUUUAUUCAAAAAAAAGACAUUAAUUUUAUUACGACAUGCUAUUUUUUCCAUUCAUUACCUUUGAGGAUCAGUCGUGGUCAGCUUGACGUGGUGGAAGUCACUAGUUCGAGCCUGAUAGAUUUUCUUUUAUAUAUAUCGAGAUAUAGAAGUUUAUUUAUGUCGAGGUUCAAAACCUUGAUAAAAUCAAGAAAAAUAAGAAAAUCUUUCAUAUUCUCUCUUACCACUUGCACAAAAUAGAGGUAUUUUAUUAUUAUAUAAAUAAAUACGUAUAACAUAUAAUAAAAUACCGUAAAAUUGAUUUUCGACGAAAUAAAAAAGACAGUUUCCAUUGAGUCUCUGCACCUAUCCUUUUCCUUUGGGUUCUCCCCCAAAUAGUUCGAUUUUUCCUCCACGUCGAUAACGAGCUAAAAGAUCGACCACUCAUAUAAGUUUUCCAUCUUCCAUUCGAAAACUUUCAAUUCGAAGAUCCUCUUCAAUCUUACUCAAAAGGUCCAGAGACCUCGCCCGUGAAGUAAAUCAUCGCCCCUACGAUCCAACUAAUUGUACUUUUUUUCUCAGAACAAGAGAAAAAAUAAAAAACUGUGG